CAAUAGCGUAUAUUAAAGUUGUUGCGGUUAAAAAGCUCGUAGUUGGAUUUCUGCUGAGAACGACCGGUCCGCCCUUUGGGUGUGUAUCUGGCUCUUUCUUGGCAUCUUCUUGGUGAACGUUGCUGCACUUGACUGUGUGGAGCGCUACCCAGGACUUUUACUUUGAGGAAAUUAGAGUGUUUCAAGCAGGCAUACGCCUUGAAUACAUUAGCAUGGAAUAAUAAGAUAGGACCUCGGUUCUAUUUUGUUGGAUUCUAGAGCUGAGGUAAUGAUUAAUAGGGAUAGUUGGGGGCAUUCGUAUUUAACUGUCAGAGGUGAAAUUCUUGGAUUUGUUAAAGACGGACUACUGCGAAANCANNNGCCAAGGAUGUUUUCAUNGA
RNAcentral lists this ribosomal RNA (380 nucleotides) under uncultured eukaryote. RNAcentral's name for it is "partial 18S ribosomal RNA". It matches the Rfam family "Eukaryotic small subunit ribosomal RNA", at positions 592 to 976 of the family's 1831-position model. The record is from RNAcentral.